UUACGGUCAUAUAACGUUAAAACACCGGUUCUCGUACGAUCACUGAAGUUAAGCAACAGUACCUCGGUACUUAGAUGGAUGACAGCUUGGGAAUACCAGGUGCUAUA
Non-coding RNA from Acanthosepion pharaonis, 107 nucleotides. NCBI's taxonomy places the organism in Eukaryota, Metazoa, Mollusca, Cephalopoda, Sepiida, Sepiidae. The record is from the annotation of a GenBank genome assembly.